Molecule: non-coding RNA, 3195 nt
Organism: Sus scrofa (pig)
Lineage: Eukaryota; Metazoa; Chordata; Mammalia; Artiodactyla; Suidae
Source: RefSeq, a predicted model, not a curated record
UAACUGCUGAGCUACAAUGGGAACUUCCAAAAGGAAAUCUUUUUAACUGAAUGAAUUUAGCUUCAUGAAAAGCUCUGCAUACUGUUUUUAUUUUUCUCGUUUCUCCUUGGACCUGUGAAAAUUGCAUUCCUUACUCAUACCCAUUAGCAAGGUUUCUGGGGCCUCGAUGUCACAGUCGUCCUGCUUGACUUGGAAGCAGCAGUGCAGAGGAGAAGAAUGAGCAUAGGUUUGGGAUCCAGAGUUGUGGGUUCAAAUGCUGAAUCCCCUGCCUGCCAGGUGGGUGACCUCAGAUAAGUCAUUGGUGGAUUAUCAGAAAGGGCUUUGAUGCCCACAGAUUUAGAUAUUCCAAUUCGGUUACUUGGUAGCUGAGUAAGCUUAAGCAAGUUACCAAACUUCUCAGUGGCUGUUAUCCCAUCAGUAACAUGGGAAUAGUGUGAGAACCAAGGAGGAGUAAAUGGGGGGAUGCCUGUAAGACACUCAGCACAGGGGUUCAUAUGGGACAUAAUAAACACUCAACAGCUGGUAGCUCUCUCUCCAGGGGUGAUUAUACUCAGUAGGGAUAUCAGUCCUUACUUCUUAAAAGGGUUACAAGGAUUUAAUGAGAUGCAUAAAAGCAACUUGUAGUGCCUAGCGCAUAAUUAAUAAUUUAAAAAAUUUGAGUUCUCUUUCUCCUCACCUUACCUCAAUGUCCAAAUCUGUAAACUAGGUCCAGUAAAACCCACUUACAUAGAGUUGAUGCAAGAAUUGAACGUAACAGUUAUAAGCAAGUGCUUUGCAAUCUGGGGCACUGUGUACACAUGCCUGUUGCAAUUACAGUGAUGGGCCCUGCCUGUGUUUAUAUAUUUGCAAGGGCCUCUCAGAGUACCAGAUGACUUAUUAUCAUGAUAAAUCAUAACCUCAUAGAGAAAAUUAGCCCAGGCCUAGAACUAAGGAUGAAAGUAGAAAGAAAUAAGUCUGGGAGACAGAAAACAAAAUUAAUAAAUAUUGAAAUGCAAACCCACAGCAUUUGGCCUGUAUCCUCCCUGCCCUAGAUCCUCUUGCAUUAUCUCAUUGUGAGAAAUGUUUGUGGGAAGCCACAGAUCUUUGCAGACUGAUAUAGUCAAAAAGAAAACAGCAUGCACAAAAUCAAAACUCACCCAGCCCUUUGCUCUCACUACUGUGCAUCCUCUCUGAAGCAGACAUUCCUAGCCUGGCAACAUUAGGAUUUGGCCCAGGCUCUCUGGGAACUACACUGACUCUUAGGUAUAUGUCAGGUCAGCUGUCCUGCUGAAAAAGAUCUGGAAUGUGACUUCUUCUUGAUCAUACAGGUUCUUGUCCUCCUCCCCAAAGUAGCUUAGUAGGCAUGAAUGCAAGAAAAGGAGUAAGUCAGCAAGGACAAUAAGCAGAGCAGCUGAAGCAAAGAGCAAGUCAAAACUGCAUCAGAAGAUGCUUGGUCACGUUGAGAUAGCUUGAUGGUCAGAGGCUGGAAGCAGGGAGACCACUGAAUAUUACUGCAGCAAUUCAGAGAGACACUUCUGGCUUCAAGGUACAGAACAGGGCUGUCAUUUUACACUGACCCUGGCCUCCAGCCUUACUUGGUUAGAUGUACAGCCACAGUGUCUUUGAAAGUAUCGCUUGUUGAUUCUUGUAAGUAACUAACUCAGUUUGAUGAAACACUUACCAUGUACCUGGUUUUUGUGAUAGACACAAAAGAAUGAAGGGAGCUGGGGUGAAAUUCAAGUCCUCACCUUCACACACUUACCACAUCCCACAGGAAGUGGGUUCGUCUGUGAAAAGGCAGCCAACCUUAUCAAUAGUCUUUGUUCAGUGCAGACAUGUAAGUACAGAAGGGCUUCCAGACAGGGUGAGAACACUUUCCUACUGGUGGCUGGGGGUGGGAGGGAUUGAAUUCUGGUAAGAGAGGACAGAGAAGGGUGCCCUAGGAGAGAGGAUGGCAUAAUCUGAGGCUCUGAAACAGGAAUGCUCCCUGUGGGCUCUGGAAGUGGUGGGCAGACCACUCUGCAUGGAGUGGGGUCUUUGCUUUGAAGAUAAUCAUGAGUGACAGGAAUGAAGGGGUAGGAGAGGAUCUUAAAUGUCACAUGAAGAAUUUGGGUUGUAUCCCAUUGGCAGAAAAGAGCUCUGAGUGUUUGGGGUGCGGGUGGGGAAUAAAUUCAGGAUGCAAUUUGGGGAAGAUUCUCUAUUGUGUGGAUUUGAAGGAUGGAGACUGAAGAAAGGGGCUCUCACUGCUCUCACUGAAGCUAUUAUUCAGUUAUUUCAAGACAAGACCCUGAAUCAACAUGGUGCCAGAAAGGGUAGGUUGGGAUAUGCAAGAAAUGUAGUGAAAGAAAAUAUACCAGGACUUUGCAAGUGGAUAUGAGGAUAUGAAUAUAAGAGGAGAUAAGAGGUUUUGGAAUUAGAUGACCAAAAGUAGAAUGGAGGUGAUUGGACAGAAGCGGUCAAUUCAACUGGGUGGACUAAGAGAAAGUGUGCCUUCGGAGCUCAAAUAUCAGAUCUAACUCUCUACCUGUGGAAGAGGGGGCAAGGUAUUUGUUCUUCCUGAAUCUCUAUUUGCUCCUACAUCAAAGAGAUGUCAAAGUACACACAUCAAAGGGGUGUUAUGAGGAGGGAGAAAAUAAAUAUAAACUAUCUGACAGGGUGGUUAGUCUCUUGCACCUGCUCAAUAACUAGGAGUUCCCUUUGCCUUCUUUCCUCUCCUCCAGUCCCAGGAAGACACACACCACACCCUCAUCUGCAUCUUCUCCCAGUCCCUGUGUGAGUUCUAAGCAGGGGAAGAGGGCUCAGCAAUUCCGGCAACUUGAAUUCUGCAGAGUGAACCGGAGAACUGAAGAAGGUAUCAGUCAGUCACAGUCAAGCCAGGGUUCCGAAAAUUACCUACUGAGAUGUUGGAACAUUUGAGAUUACAGCUUCUUCUUGGUUCUCUGCUUCACAACAGAAGAAUAUAUUUGGCACUAAGACAGAAACCCAAUAGGCUACUUGAUUUGUACUGACUAACUACAACCAGAAAACAUCAAUAGAAGUAGUAGACGUUAAUCUACUUUAACCCAGUUAUUUUGGAGAAACCUGCUGGGUAGCCUAACUCUGGACCUAUCUCUUGAGGCCUGACCAUCAUUUCAAGGGUCUGUGGCUAUCUCCAUCAAGGCCACGAAAGGGUGGACUCUCAGUCAUGGGGAACCAUUAGUCACUUCACCGGACCAG